RNAcentral lists this ribosomal RNA (497 nucleotides) under uncultured bacterium. RNAcentral's name for it is "partial 16S ribosomal RNA". It matches the Rfam family "Bacterial small subunit ribosomal RNA", at positions 28 to 507 of the family's 1533-position model. The record is from RNAcentral.
GAUGAACGCUGGCGGCGUGCCUAAUACAUGCAAGUCGAGCGAACGGACGAGAAGCUUGCUUCUCUGAUGUUAGCGGCGGACGGGUGAGUAACACGUGGAUAACCUACCUAUAAGACUGGGAUAACUUCGGGAAACCGGAGCUAAUACCGGAGAAUAUUUUGAACCGCAUGGUUCAAAAGUGAAAGACGGUCUUGCUGUCACUUAUAGAUGGAUCCGCGCUGCAUUAGCUAGUUGGUAAGGUAACGGCUUACCAAGGCAACGAUGCAUAGCCGACCUGAGAGGGUGAUCGGCCACACGGGAACUGAGACACGGUCCAGACUCCUACGGGAGGCAGCAGUAGGGAAUCUUCCGCAAUGGGCGAAAGCCUGACGGAGCAACGCCGCGUGAGUGAUGAAGGUCUUCGGAUCGUAAAACUCUGUUAUUAGGGAAGAACAUAUGUGUAAGUAACUGUGCACAUCUUGACGGUACCUAAUCAGAAAGCCACGGCUAACUACGUG